CGUCCUUUUCCUUUCGGCGAGCGCGGGGCGGCGGGAGCGGAGCGGCGGCGGGAGCGGAGCGGCGGCGGCGCCUCAGAGGGACCGGGAUCGGGACUGGGAUCGGGAUAGGCACCGGCCUCGGCCUCUCCCGGCGGGGCCAGCGGGAAGCCCUGCGUCCCUCAGGUGCAGGAAGCCGGUGCUGGUAGAGGCGGCUCCACAGCUGCGCCUUCCCCGCCAUGUUGUGGCGAGGCUCCCUCAGGGCCGGGACCGCUUCCCGCCGGCCCCGGCGCUGAGCGGCUGCGGAACACGAGCGAGCCUGGCAGUGGACAAAAAAAUAAAAUGACCAGAAUGGUGUGACUUCAGAAAUGGAGGGUGAUCCUUCAGGAGAAGGCUGCCCCAGCAAGCUUCAGCCGCCUUGCUGACUAGGCAGCCCUGAGCCGAGGCAGACCCGGAGGAGCCCAGCCCAGGUGAGCUGCACUGCUGGGAGGUGCCCCACUCGUGUUGCAGGUGUGGCUGCGCUGCUGGAAGCUGCCAGCCCUGCCCAGAUUAUGCCUUGAGCUGCAGAAUGUCUGACAAACUGAGAACUGCUUGGCAGCAUCCACGUCUGAUGGCUUGGAGAUUCCUGAAACUUUGAUCAGCUGUGUUUUCUCUACAUGGUUAAGAAGGAUUUAAAUAAAAAAUAAACCUAAAUAAAGAUGCCACCUACAAGACUGAAAGCA
Long non-coding RNA from Motacilla alba alba, 698 nucleotides. RefSeq lists it as uncharacterized. The record is from RefSeq and is a predicted model, not a curated record. NCBI's taxonomy places the organism in Eukaryota, Metazoa, Chordata, Aves, Passeriformes, Motacillidae. The transcript has 4 exons.